Molecule: small nucleolar RNA, 123 nt
Organism: Pipistrellus kuhlii (Kuhl's pipistrelle)
Lineage: Eukaryota; Metazoa; Chordata; Mammalia; Chiroptera; Vespertilionidae
Product: small nucleolar RNA SNORA28
Exons: 1
Source: RefSeq, a predicted model, not a curated record
CAGCAACACUCUGGCUGAUGAUCAAAACUGUCUGAAACAAUUUGAGCUUGCCAUAGCAACAAAGUCUAACCUACUCCAGUGCACUCUCCUCUGUGAGACAGGCCUUACAAAGACACAGACAGU